Molecule: ribosomal RNA, 587 nt
Filed under: uncultured bacterium
Lineage: Bacteria
Description: bacterial SSU rRNA
Rfam family: Bacterial small subunit ribosomal RNA
Source: RNAcentral
CCUACGGGAGGCAGCAGUAGGGAAUCUUCCGCAAUGGACGAAAGUCUGACGGAGCAACGCCGCGUGAGCGAAGAAGGCCUUCGGGUCGUAAAGCUCUGUUGUUAGGGAAGAACAAGUACGAGAGUAACUGCUCGUACCUUGACGGUACCUAACCAGAAAGCCACGGCUAACUACGUGCCAGCAGCCGCGGUAAUACGUAGGUGGCAAGCGUUGUCCGGAAUUAUUGGGCGUAAAGCGCGCGCAGGCGGUCCUUUAAGUCUGAUGUGAAAGCCCACGGCUCAACCGUGGAGGGUCAUUGGAAACUGGGGGACUUGAGUGCAGAAGAGGAGAGUGGAAUUCCACGUGUAGCGGUGAAAUGCGUAGAGAUGUGGAGGAACACCAGUGGCGAAGGCGACUCUCUGGUCUGUAACUGACGCUGAGGCGCGAAAGCGUGGGGAGCAAACAGGAUUAGAUACCCUGGUAGUCCACGCCGUAAACGAUGAGUGCUAAGUGUUAGAGGGUUUCCGCCCUUUAGUGCUGCAGCUAACGCAUUAAGCACUCCGCCUGGGGAGUACGGCCGCAAGGCUGAAACUCAAAGGAAUUGACGG